AUUGAACGCUGGCGGCAGGCUUAACACAUGCAAGUCGAGCGAGCGGCGGACGGGUGAGUAAUGUCUGGGAAACUGCCUGAUGGAGGGGGAUAACUACUGGAAACGGUAGCUAAUACCGCAUACCAUCAGAUGUGCCCAGAUGGGAUUAGCUAGUAGGUGGGGUAAUGGCUCACCUAGGCGACGAUCCCUAGCUGGUCUGAGAGGAUGACCAGCCAUACUGGAACUGAGACACGGUCCAGACUCCUACGGGAGGCAGCAGUGGGGGAUAGUGCACAAUGUGCGAAAGCCUGAUGCAGCGAGGCCGCGUGGGGGAUGAAGGCUUGCGGGUUGUAAACCUCUGUCGCUAGCGAACGGGUACGUGGAGAAGAAGCGCCGGCUAACUACGUGCCAGCAGCCGCGGUAAUUC
Molecule: ribosomal RNA, 406 nt
Filed under: uncultured bacterium
Lineage: Bacteria
Description: partial 16S ribosomal RNA
Rfam family: Bacterial small subunit ribosomal RNA
Source: RNAcentral